CACGGGCAUGAUCCUGAAGAUGAGCAGGGCUCAAGAUUCAAAUAAUAGUCGCAAUGUGCACAUUCACCACCCAGGGUACAGAUGAGUAACGGUCUGUUUAACCGAGUCAUCCUUCAGUAAAUCUGUGUAAAUCCAAUAUUUAUUUGCUGUCACAGCUGUUGAAACAUCUGUUUGAGUGUUUGUUUUUGUUUCUUCUCUUUCUUCACUUUAUGUUCUACAGUUUCAUCUAGACCUACUCAUCAAUCAAUGCAGUAUAUGUCAGAGGUGUGACAUGCUGUAUUUCUUCCAGUUUAUUUUGGUGUCGUUUACUUGUUUGUUUUUUUUUUAAUUAUUAUUAGAAGUGCUAAUACUGAUGGGCCACACCCCCAGCUUACUGAAGGAAUUAUAGAGGUGCCAUGUUUCUAAAAAUGUGAGACUGUUUCCUUCUGUGCCACGCUCUGGCAUUUCUGGCACAGGGAUCAGAUGUUCCCUUUCAAUGUUUACAUGUUAAUUUGCACUUGUAACUUUGAAUCAGUAAAAAGUGCAGAUCAACGCGGGGUUAUGCACCUACGACGAGACUGUUUCUUGAUGUCGAUGUUCAUAAAUCGGCCUCCAGACUCUGAUUGGACUGUUACUGUAAGGCUUUCUCAGUGUGAAUAUAUUUCCUGUCUUGUGUCAGCCAACAUGGUUUCCCUCUGUGAUCGGUGUUCGCGUUUCACUUUAUUGAAUAUGGCAUAAGGUUUAGUUCUAGGUCUUGUCCGUCUGUCAUGAAGUAAUCACAUCCUGGGAUCCCUGGAGUUUCUUUUAAACCGGUGCACGUUGUGCAUAGUUUAGUCUUUUUUUGUGUGCGUCGAUUUUGGAAUACUUGAGUUUCUGAGAUGUUAUGUUAAAACUAGUCAGGUUCACUACAGGACUUUUAAAACUCUUCAGGCUACGUGAACCCGAUCAGGAUCUGCCUCUCCCUUUCAAAACCCCAUCGAAGUAUGUGUAUGUGUGGAAAGAACGAGGUGAUCAGCCUGAUGUUUAUUUAGUACAUGUGCACUCAGGCUAGCCCUUUUGAAACCCUUCCA
Long non-coding RNA from Ictalurus punctatus (channel catfish), 1049 nucleotides. The record is from Ensembl. Lineage: Eukaryota; Metazoa; Chordata; Actinopteri; Siluriformes; Ictaluridae.